This 515-nucleotide unclassified non-coding RNA is filed under the name Hevea brasiliensis (rubber tree). Lineage: Eukaryota; Viridiplantae; Streptophyta; Magnoliopsida; Malpighiales; Euphorbiaceae. The record is from RNAcentral.
UGCAUAUAAUUCUUAUAGAAGUCUAUCUGAUAAAAAAGAUAUAAGUACCACUUAUGUUUCAUUUAACAUAGGCAUUAUUCUAAAUUUAUCAGUAGAAUUCUUGACCAUAAUUAACCUGUUCUUUAAAUUUUGUUAGUAAUUCUUCAGCUGGUUUUGCGCUAUAUAAACCAUUCUUGUUAAUUCUGGAUGCUGAAGUUUCUUGAGAUGUGAUUUGUCUGAAAUCAUAAUCUGACGUAUAAUCACUACAACAAGUCUACUAACUACUGUAGCUUUUGGUAAUUUGUCUUAUUUAUGGCCCCAAUUUGUGCCCAUCAAUCAAUUAUUUUCCAUAACAAAUCUUUAAAUACAUUAUCUUACAUUUUUCUUAUCUGAAAAUCGAUUUUAUAAAUUUUUUUUAAUUGCUUCAUAGGUACAUAAAUCCCAAAGUUAUUUAAAAUAGUUUUAAAGUUUUAAGAGAUAACUAUAUAUGAAGCAGGAAGGUAUUUCCAAGACAAUACUGCAAUAAGUAGUCAUUA